This is a ribosomal RNA of 1085 nucleotides. It matches the Rfam family "Bacterial large subunit ribosomal RNA", at positions 928 to 1996 of the family's 2925-position model.
UCACAAGCUUACUGACGUCAACCAAACUCCGAAUGCCGGGAAGUGAGAGCGCGGCAGUGAGACGGCGGGGGAUAAGCUUCGUCGUCGAGAGGGAAACAACCCAGAUCACCAGCUAAGGCCCCUAAGCGCGUGCUAAGUGGGAAAGGAUGUGGAGUCGCAGAGACAACCAGGAGGUGGGCUUGGAGGCAGCCACCCUUGAAAGAAAGCGUAAUAGCUCACUGGUCAAGUGAUUCCGCGCCGACAAUGUAACGGGGCUCAAGCACGCCGCCGAAGCUGUGGCUUUCGCACCAACGGGUGCGGAGGGGUAGGGGAGCGUCGUGUCGCGUCGAAGCAGCAGGGUGACCUAGUUGUGGAGCGACACGAGUGAGAAUGCAGGCAUGAGUAGCGAAUGAGGGGUGAGAAACCCCUCCGCCGAAUGACCAAGGGUUCCGGGGCAAGGCUAAUCCGCUCCGGGUGAGUCGGGACCUAAGGCGAGGCCGACAGGCGUAGUCGAUGGACAACGGGUUGAUAUUCCCGUACCGACAUGAUUAGCGAUGGUGUGACGUAGAGAGGUAACCCAACCGUGGCGAUGGUAGACCACGGCCAAGGGCGCAGGACGGAGCAUAGGCAAAUCCGGCUCCAUAAGUCCGAGACCUGAUGGGGAGGCUGUUUCGACGGCCGAGUGGGCGAUCCCGUGCUACCAAGAAAAGCCACCUAGUGUUAUUAAUCAUGUCGCCCGUACCCCAAACCGACACAGGUGGUCAGGUAGAGGAUACCAAGGCGAUCGAGAUAACCACGGUUAAGGAACUAGGCAAAAUACCCUCGUAACUUCGGGAGAAGAGGGGCCGGAGAUGUGUAGGGACUUGCUCCUGAAGCAUCAAUGGCCGCAGAGACCAGGCCCAAGCGACUGUUUACUAAAAACACAGGUCCGUGCGAAGUCGUAAGACGCUGUAUACGGACUGACGCCUGCCCGGUGCUGGAACGUUAAGGGGACCGGUCAGCCGCAAGGCGAAGCUGAGAACUUAAGCGCCAGUAAACGGCGGUGGUAACUAUAACCAUCCUAAGGUAGCGAAAUUCCUUGUCGGGUAAGUUCCGACCUGCACGAA